RNAcentral lists this ribosomal RNA (444 nucleotides) under Alteromonas sp. YSF. RNAcentral describes it as "bacterial SSU rRNA". It matches the Rfam family "Bacterial small subunit ribosomal RNA", at positions 294 to 727 of the family's 1533-position model. The record is from RNAcentral. Lineage: Bacteria; Pseudomonadati; Pseudomonadota; Gammaproteobacteria; Alteromonadales; Alteromonadaceae.
GAGAGGAAGAUCAGCCACACUGGGACUGAGACACGGCCCAGACUCCUACGGGAGGCAGCAGUGGGGAAUAUUGCACAAUGGGGGAAACCCUGAUGCAGCCAUGCCGCGUGUGUGAAAAAGGCCUUCGGGUUGUAAAGCACUUUCAGUUGUGAGGAAAAGUUAGUAGUUAAUACCUGCUAGCCGUGACGUUAACAACAGAAGAAGCACCGGCUAACUCCGUGCCAGCAGCCGCGGUAAUACRGAGGGUGCGAGCGUUAAUCGGAAUUACUGGGCGUAAAGCGCACGCACGGCGSUUGUUGAGCUAGAUGUCGAAGCCCCGGGCUCAACAUGGGAUGGUCAUUUAGAACUGGCAGACUAGAGUCUUNGAGAGAGGGGAGUGGAACUCCAGGUGAAGCGSUGAAMUGCGUAGAUAUCUGGAGGAACAUCAGUGGCRAAGGGCGACUC